GUCCCUAUCGUCUAGAGGCCUAGGACAUCGCCCUUUCACGGCGGUAACCGGGGUUCGAAUCCCCAUAGGGACGCCA
Molecule: transfer RNA, 76 nt
Filed under: Acinetobacter baumannii
Lineage: Bacteria; Pseudomonadati; Pseudomonadota; Gammaproteobacteria; Moraxellales; Moraxellaceae
Also listed under: 1 other name
Description: tRNA-Glu
Rfam family: tRNA
About the family: Transfer RNA (tRNA) molecules are approximately 80 nucleotides in length. Their secondary structure includes four short double-helical elements and three loops (D, anti-codon, and T loops).
Source: RNAcentral